GAGCAAUGUUUAGGCAGCGUCUUUAUUUACAAUAUCCUGAAAAGUGGAAACAUACCUGUGUGUAUGGGGGGGUAAUCACAGAUUCACCACAACAACAGUAGCACAGAACAUAUGUUACAAUACAUUACCCUUCUAGGAAUGAUAAUGGAGACAUGUUAUAAUACAUUACUCCUCUAGGAAUGAUAAUGGAGACAUGUUAUAAUACAUUACUCCUCUAGGAAUGAUAAUGAGAUGUUAUAAUACAUUACUCCUCUAGGAAUGAUAUAAUGAGAUAUGUUAUAAUACAUUACUCCUCUAGGAAUGAUAAUGAGAUACAUGUUAUAAUACAUUACUCCUCUAGGAAUGAUAAUGAGAUGUUAUAAUACAUUACUCCUCUAGGAAUGAUAUAAUGAGACAUGGACCAGACAACAGCCUCAUCAGUACAACAGGAAGUGAAUUUAACAGAAUCCUCAGUAAACACCCAACUUAUAUAAACCACAAAACAAUCAAUCACAGAAACGCCUCUCCUUGUUCACAGUAAACACAGAGGGUCAUCACCCCCCCCCCCCUAACCUCUGACCCCUAACCUCUAAUACCUGACUGUCUGGUCAUCACCCCCCCCCUAACCUCUGACCCCUAACCUCUAAUACCUGACUGUCUGGUCAUCACCCCCCCCCCCCCCCCUCUAA
This 668-nucleotide long non-coding RNA is filed under the name Salmo salar (Atlantic salmon). RNAcentral describes it as "lncRNA (ENSSSAG00000105760.1)". The record is from RNAcentral. Lineage: Eukaryota; Metazoa; Chordata; Actinopteri; Salmoniformes; Salmonidae.